This is a transfer RNA of Claviceps purpurea 20.1, 92 nucleotides long. It matches the Rfam family "tRNA". From Rfam's summary of the family: Transfer RNA (tRNA) molecules are approximately 80 nucleotides in length. Lineage: Eukaryota; Fungi; Ascomycota; Sordariomycetes; Hypocreales; Clavicipitaceae. The record is from Rfam.
GGCCGCGUGGCCUAAUGGCUAAGGCGCUAGAUUUCGGUUUCCCAAUCAAUCGUACUCUCUAGAGAUUCCAGGUUCGACUCCUGGCGCGGUCG